UACGUAGGGCGCAAGCGUUGUCCGGAAUUAUUGGGCGUAAAGAGCUCGUAGGCGGCUUGUCACGUCGGGGUGUGAAAGCCCGGGGCUUAACCCCGAGCCUGCAGUGGAUACGGGCAGACUAGAGGUAGGUAGGGGAGAAUGGAAUUCCCGGUGUAGCGGUGAAAUGCGCAGAUAUCGGGAGGAACACCGGUGGCGAAGGCGGUUCUCUGGGCCUUACCUGACGCUGAGGAGCGAAAGCGUGGGGAGCGAACAGG
RNAcentral lists this ribosomal RNA (254 nucleotides) under uncultured bacterium. Its description in RNAcentral is "partial 16S ribosomal RNA". It matches the Rfam family "Bacterial small subunit ribosomal RNA", at positions 524 to 776 of the family's 1533-position model. The record is from RNAcentral.